Molecule: ribosomal RNA, 445 nt
Filed under: uncultured bacterium
Lineage: Bacteria
Description: bacterial SSU rRNA
Rfam family: Bacterial small subunit ribosomal RNA
Source: RNAcentral
ACCAGACUCCUACGGGAGGCAGCAGUGGGGGAUAUUGCACAAUGGGGGGAACCCUGAUGCAGCGACGCCGCGUGGGUGAAGAAGCGCCUCGGCGCGUAAAGCCCUGUCAGCAGGGAAGAAAAUGACGGUACCUGAAGAAGAAGCCCCGGCUAACUACGUGCCAGCAGCCGCGGUAAUACGUAGGGGGCAAGCGUUAUCCGGAUUUACUGGGUGUAAAGGGGGCGCAGACGGCGAUGCAAGCCAGGAGUGAAAGCCCGGGGCCCAACCCCGGGACUGCUCUUGGAACUGCGUGGCUGGAGUGCAGGAGGGGCAGGCGGAAUUCCUGGUGUAGCGGUGAAAUGCGUAGAUAUCAGGAGGAACACCGGUGGCGAAGGCGGCCUGCUGGACUGCAACUGACGUUGAGGCCCGAAAGCGUGGGGAGCAAACAGGAUUAGAUACCCGUAUA